Molecule: ribosomal RNA, 466 nt
Filed under: uncultured bacterium
Lineage: Bacteria
Description: bacterial SSU rRNA
Rfam family: Bacterial small subunit ribosomal RNA
Source: RNAcentral
GAUGAACGCUAGCGGCAGGCCUAAUACAUGCAAGUCGAGGGGUAACGCGGUAGCAAUACUGGCGACGACCGGCGCACGGGUGCGUAACGCGUAUGCAAUUUGCCCAUAACAAGGGGAUAGCCCGGAGAAAUCCGGAUUAAUACCCUAUAAUAUAUUGAGUAGGCAUCUAUUUAAUAUUAAAGAUUUAUCGGUUAUGGAUGAGCAUGCGUCUGAUUAGCUAGNGGUAAGGUAAUGGCUUACCAAGGCUACGAUCAGUAGGGGGUCUGAGAGGAUGAUCCCCCACACUGGUACUGAGAUACGGACCAGACUCCUACGGGAGCAGCAGUAGGGAAUAUUGGGCAAUGGACGAGAGUCUGACCCAGCCAUGCCGCGUGUAGGAAGAAGGCUUUCUGAGUUGUAAACUUACUUUUGAUUGGGAAACAAAAGAUCCUUGCGAGGANCAUUGAGUGUACCAAUAGAAUAAGCA